GACAAAACCCGGAGGAAGGUGGGGAUGACGUCAAGUCAUCAUGGCCCUUACGGCCUGGGCUACACACGUGCUACAAUGGUCGGUACAAAGGGUUGCCAAGCCGCGAGGUGGAGCUAAUCCCAUAAAACCGAUCGUAGUCCGGAUCGCAGUCUGCAACUCGACUGCGUGAAGUCGGAAUCGCUAGUAAUCGUGAAUCAGAAUGUCACGGUGAAUACGUUCCCGGGCCUU
RNAcentral lists this ribosomal RNA (228 nucleotides) under uncultured Pseudomonas sp. Its description in RNAcentral is "partial 16S ribosomal RNA". It matches the Rfam family "Bacterial small subunit ribosomal RNA", at positions 1155 to 1382 of the family's 1533-position model. Lineage: Bacteria; Pseudomonadati; Pseudomonadota; Gammaproteobacteria; Pseudomonadales; Pseudomonadaceae. The record is from RNAcentral.